GUCCUAAAAAAAUCAGGUAAACACAACACAGGAGUAGAACACAACUUAUCCUUAAUCAAAUGAAAUGCAUCUUCCUGUGCUUUACCCCAUGCAAGAGCAACAUUUUUCUUAACAAGUUCAUUCAAUUGUGCAACAAUGGUGCUAGUCUCUUUCAAAAAUCUCUUAUAAAAACUAGCCAAUGCAUGAAAAUUACGCAUAUCAGACACAGAUUUAGGAGUUAGCCAAUCUUUAAUAGCCUUAACCUUUUCCUCAUCAAUUUCAAUACUAUUUCCACUAACCACAUAACCCAAGAAAAUAACUUUUUCCAUGCAA
Molecule: unclassified non-coding RNA, 312 nt
Filed under: Hevea brasiliensis (rubber tree)
Lineage: Eukaryota; Viridiplantae; Streptophyta; Magnoliopsida; Malpighiales; Euphorbiaceae
Source: RNAcentral